RNAcentral lists this ribosomal RNA (454 nucleotides) under uncultured bacterium. RNAcentral's name for it is "partial 16S ribosomal RNA". It matches the Rfam family "Bacterial small subunit ribosomal RNA", at positions 338 to 787 of the family's 1533-position model. The record is from RNAcentral.
CCUACGGGUGGCAGCAGUGAGGAAUAUUGGUCAAUGGCCGGAAGGCUGAACCAGCCAAGCCGCGUGAAGGACGAAGGUGCCAAGCAUUGUAAACUUCUUUUGUCAAGGGACAAAAUCAGGCUCGAGAGCCUGACCUAGGGUACUUUAAGAAAAAACAUCGGCUAACUCCGUUCCCGCAGCCGCGGUAAUACGGAGGAUGCCGGCGUUAUCCGGAUUUAUUGGGGUUAAAGGGUGCGUAGGCGGACUGUUAAGUCAGCGGUAAAAGCCCGGGGCUCCACCCCGGCGAGCCGUUGAAACUGGCUGUCUUGAGAUGUAGAGAGGUAUGCGGAAUGCGCAGUGGAGCGGUGAAAUGCUUAGAUAUUGCGCAGAACUCAGAUUGCGAAGGCAGCAUAGCGGCGGCGAUCUGACGCUGAGGCACGAAAGCGUGGGUACCGAACAGGAUUAGAGAGUAGUC